AUACGUAGGGGGCGAGCGUUGUCCGGAAUGAUUGGGCGUAAAGGGCGCGUAGGCGGCGCGGUAAGUCUGGAGUGAAAGUCCUGCUUUCAAGGUGGGAAUUGCUUUGGAUACUGCCGCGCUUGAGUGCAGGAGAGGUUAUCGGAAUUCCCGGUGUAGCGGUGAAAUGCGUAGAGAUCGGGAGGAACACCAGUGGCGAAGGCGACUUACUGGGCCGUAACUGACGCUGAGGCGCGAAAGCGUGGGGAGCGAACAGGAUUAGAUACCCUUGUAGUCCACGCGGUAAACGAUGAAUGCUAGGUGUUGCGGGUAUCGACCCCUGCAGUGCCGGAGUAAACACAAUAAGCAUUCCGCCUGGGGAGUACGGCCGCAAGGUUGAAACUCAAAUGAAUUGACGGGG
This 397-nucleotide ribosomal RNA is filed under the name uncultured bacterium. Its description in RNAcentral is "partial 16S ribosomal RNA". It matches the Rfam family "Bacterial small subunit ribosomal RNA", at positions 523 to 918 of the family's 1533-position model. The record is from RNAcentral.